This 460-nucleotide ribosomal RNA is filed under the name uncultured bacterium. Its description in RNAcentral is "partial 16S ribosomal RNA". It matches the Rfam family "Bacterial small subunit ribosomal RNA", at positions 338 to 795 of the family's 1533-position model. The record is from RNAcentral.
CCUACGGGUGUGCAGCAGUGAGGAAUAUUGGUCAAUGGACGAGAGUCUGAACCAGCCAAGUAGCGUGAAGGAUGACUGCCCUAUGGGUUGUAAACUUCUUUUAUAUGGGAAUAAAAUGUUCCACGUGUGGGAUUUUGUAUGUACUUUAUGAAUAAGGAUCGGCUAACUCCGUGCCAGCAGCCGCGGUAAUACGGAGGAUCCGAGCGUUAUUCGGAUUUAUUGGGUUAAAAGGGAGCGUAGAUGGGUUGUUAAGUCAGUUGUGAAAGUUUGCGGCUCAACCGUAAAAUUGCAAUUGAUACUGGCAGUCUUGAGUACAGUUGAGGUAGGCGGAAUUCGUGGUGUAGCGGUGAAAUGCUUAGAGAUCAUACCGAACACCGAUUGCGAAGGCAGCUUACCAAGCUACUUCUGACGUUGAGGCACGAAAGCGUGGGGAGCAAACAGGAUAGAUACCCUGGUAGUC